UAAACCAGGAUUAGAUACCCUAUUAUUCCUAAACCAAACAAACCCUAAAGAAGUACUUGCUAUAAGCAUGAAACCUAAAGGAUUUGGCGGUGUUUUACCUUACCAGAGGAACCCGUUCUAUAAUCGUCACUACGCGAAACAUCUUUCCCAAGGACGGUUCAUAUACCGUCAUUUAAAUCACGCUAAAAAGCAAUAUUAAAACGGGUUACCACAAAAUUAGACAAGGUGUGGCAUCCUUGGGAACGAAUAGGUUACAUUUUACAAACAAGUGGAAUCUUUAUGAAAAAUAGAGGAAAACGGAUUUGUUAGUAAUU
This 314-nucleotide ribosomal RNA is filed under the name Ligidium cycladicum. Its description in RNAcentral is "partial 12S ribosomal RNA". Lineage: Eukaryota; Metazoa; Arthropoda; Malacostraca; Isopoda; Ligiidae. The record is from RNAcentral.